Etheostoma cragini (Arkansas darter) is the source of this 99-nucleotide long non-coding RNA. RefSeq lists it as uncharacterized. The record is from RefSeq and is a predicted model, not a curated record. The transcript is spliced from 3 exons. NCBI's taxonomy places the organism in Eukaryota, Metazoa, Chordata, Actinopteri, Perciformes, Percidae.
UGGUUGGACAACCAGGAGCCCAUUUUGGUUAUAUACCUAUUGGUCAGUUUUUAAAGCACACUUUCCUUUCCAUAGGAUCAAUAAGUGGUGAUCAACCAA